AAUAACUGAACAUCCUUUCAUUUUCAGUCCACCAUACCUACCUUGCUCUUACAAUACUUAAACCUUAGACAUGAAAGGCUGUUAGGGCACACACAGUCAAGAGUACAAGAAGUCCUGGUUUACGUAAGCUGAAAAUAGUGCAUCUCUGCAGAGCAGUGCAAAGAAGACUUAUUUCAUGCUGUGCAGCUACACUAAAAAGGGAAAAUAUUCCUUCUGGAGCCUCUAGGCUCACAACUGUAUCUAUUCCUCUUAGAGGAUGUGUUGUCUCAUGUAGUGAAACUCUUUGAUACUGUGUCAGGUGAGAGCCGUAAGGAGUGUACCUCUCAGCUACUCUGACCAAGGCUCUUAUGAAGAAAAACCAUGUAGAGAGUAAAGCUUUGAAAACAACUAAGUCUAAGAGGCUGUGGGCUGGAGUCCCUGAAGUCAGUGUGGUACAAAGCUCCUGAAGACAUCCAUUCAGAUGGACAUGGUAGAUUCAAACGUGCCCAAUUCCUAAAUGACUAAGUUCCUUGCUGCUUGUUGAACCACUUGUCUUAAACAUUUAUUUCCCAUAUAUGUUAUUCGAAAUACAAACCCUGAAACUAAAGAUAAUUGUGGUAAUGGUGCCUUGACCAUGUAGCAAAAAACUUAAUGAUUCUUUGCAGUGAAAAAGACAUAUUCUAUUCAAAACUGACACCCCUACACCAACCCAAGUUACUGGAUGCAUGUAUGAGUCAGUUAUGGAAGCCCAUAAGAACUCGGGAUCAUUCAAAUUUACUGACUUUCAGCUUCCAGAACAUUUAUUUCUAUCAUUUGCUUUAGCAGUGGCAUUCAU
Molecule: long non-coding RNA, 814 nt
Organism: Neopelma chrysocephalum (saffron-crested tyrant-manakin)
Lineage: Eukaryota; Metazoa; Chordata; Aves; Passeriformes; Pipridae
Exons: 3
Source: RefSeq, a predicted model, not a curated record